UGCCUACGCAAGUAGAGAGGAAGGCGGGGACGACGUCAAGUCAUCAUGGCCCUUACGUCCGGGGCUACACACGUGCUACAAUGGAUGGUACAGAGGGCUGCGACCUAGUAAUAGGAAGCCAAUCUCAAAAAGCCAUUCACAGUUCGGAUUGAGGUCUGCAACUCGACCUCAUGAAGUUGGAUUCGCUAGUAAUCGCGUAUCAGCAAUGACGCGGUGAAUACGUUC
Molecule: ribosomal RNA, 225 nt
Filed under: Solitalea canadensis
Lineage: Bacteria; Pseudomonadati; Bacteroidota; Sphingobacteriia; Sphingobacteriales; Sphingobacteriaceae
Description: 16S ribosomal RNA
Rfam family: Bacterial small subunit ribosomal RNA
Source: RNAcentral